Molecule: long non-coding RNA, 467 nt
Organism: Zingiber officinale
Lineage: Eukaryota; Viridiplantae; Streptophyta; Magnoliopsida; Zingiberales; Zingiberaceae
Exons: 2
Source: RefSeq, a predicted model, not a curated record
AAGGGAGUUAGGUUUUGAUUUUCCAAAAACCAAAACAAUUCCUCCCGAAAACCCCUCUUCGCUCUUCUCCCUCGCGACGGCGCAACCUCGGCGGAAAACCUAGAGACAGCUAGGUCUUGAGAUCCCGGCGCCGGCGAAGCUUCCCUCCGGCUAGUCUUCAUCCACGGUGGUUGUCUCGAAGAAGAGAAGCUCGGGAACACAAAGGGUUGCCGAGAGGAUCCGCCCGAACCCUAAAAAGUUUCCCCUUUCCUUCUUCUCGGUAGUAAGUGCAAGAAGCUCUAGAUAAAGGAAAAGCUAAAGUAUAAGGAAGAAGGCGACAAGGAGAUGCUGUGACGGUGUGUGAUGUGUGGACUAUGGAGAUCCUUGAGACUUAGCUUAGAAAAAUUUAUUAAAAUUGCUUCCGUCGAAUUGUUAAAAGAAUUUAGAACUUGUAUAUGCUAUUUUCAUUGAUAGAGUUAUUUAUUUCA